AUCCAAUACACUCAAGAAGUUGGCAGGAGAAUGGCACAAAAGAUUGGUGACAAAAAGGGAACUUACUGUUUUCCAGUUUCUAUGUAGUGAUAAAGAUAAAUGUAAACAACAAGAAAACAUGGGAGUAGACAAAAUCCCAUUAGUUAAUGUUAAAGAAAAUAAGAACAAAUAUUAUAUAGGUGUAACACAAAGGCUAUUAAACUGUAGACUUAACUGUGUGUAGAAGAACAUAUGAGGGAUAUUGGAUUAGGAAACCUUAACAUUGCCCUCUUGAGGUAUGCUUAUGAAUUAACAAUCCUAUGGGAAGAUGCAAGAGUAAUCAGCCAGGUAGAUACUAACGAAGAGAAGUUUGUAGCAGAAACUUUGGAAGUGAUUGGUCUGCAAGUCAGGGAGGAUGUUAUCAAUAACAGAAUUUUGCAGCAAUCAUCAGUUGCUUGAUUAUAUGCAUUGAAUAUCCCACAUUCAUAAAUCUUUGACCUACUUCUUUUACAUUUUAAUACUUUAUACUGUAUUCAUAAUUUCAACUUACUGUUUUAUGUUACAUUAACAAAAUUCACA
This 558-nucleotide long non-coding RNA is filed under the name Androctonus crassicauda. Lineage: Eukaryota; Metazoa; Arthropoda; Arachnida; Scorpiones; Buthidae. The record is from RNAcentral.